RNAcentral lists this ribosomal RNA (355 nucleotides) under uncultured bacterium. RNAcentral's name for it is "bacterial SSU rRNA". It matches the Rfam family "Bacterial small subunit ribosomal RNA", at positions 1 to 334 of the family's 1533-position model. The record is from RNAcentral.
CUAGCGACUUCAGAGUUUGAUCCUGGCUCAGGAUGAACGCUGGCGGCGUGCUUAACACAUGCAAGUCGAACGAAGCAUCUCUGAACAAUCCUUCGGGUGCGUUCCUGGAUGACUUAGUGGCGGACGGGUGAGUAACGCGUGGGUAACCUGCCGUAUGCAGGGGGACAACAGUUGGAAACGACUGCUAAUACCGCAUAAGCGCACGGUACUGCAUGGUACAGUGUGAAAAGAUUUAUCGGCAUACGAUGGACCUGCGUCUGAUUAGCUAGUUGGUGGGGUAACGGCCUACCAAGGCAACGAUCAGUAGCCGACUUGAGAGAGUGAUCGGCCACAUUGGGACUGAGACACGGCCCAA